GACGAACGCUGGCGGCGUGCUUAACACAUGCAAGUCGAGCGAGUGGCGGACGGGUGAGUAAUGUCUGGGAAACUGCCUGAUGGAGGGGGAUAACUACUGGAAACGGUAGCUAAUACCGCAUACCAUCGGAUGUGCCCAGAGGGGAUUAGCUAGUAGGUGGGGUAACGGCUCACCUAGGCGACGAUCCCUAGCUGGUCUGAGAGGAUGACCAGCCACACUGGAUCUGAGACACGGUCACGACUCCUACGGGAGGAAGCAGUGGGGAUGAUUGAACAAUGGGCGCAAGCCGUAUGCAGCCAUGCCGCGUGUAUGAAGAAGGCCUUCGGGUGGUAAAGUACUUUCAGCGGGGAGGCGUUACCCGCAGAAGAAGCACCGGCUAACUCCGUGCCAGCAGCCGCGGUAAUA
Molecule: ribosomal RNA, 405 nt
Filed under: uncultured bacterium
Lineage: Bacteria
Description: partial 16S ribosomal RNA
Rfam family: Bacterial small subunit ribosomal RNA
Source: RNAcentral